UUAUGAUUGAUAGAAAAGAAGGAACUAACUCGAUAUUUGAGAUCUCUUGGCUGCUGAUGCCACUGAGCUUCAAUUGCAAACUCAUCUAGCAAAUCAUCAGCGUCAUAAGCUGCAUCCUUGAUGUCUCUGAGCCACACCUUUAUAGGCUCACUCUUCCACUGCUUCUCCUCUGCAUCUUGCAGCACAGCUCGAAUAGUUCUGAACGUGCGGUUGAGAUUUUCAAGCUCGGUCUCUAGGCCCCCAGCAAGUCCAAGCUCUUGAAGAAUUGGGGAAUUCAAGUUCCCCAUGAUUGUACUCGCGACAGCAGAAAUAAUUGCAUCAGCCAUAGCUUGUUAUCGAAUGGAAAAUAAUUGGAUGUUGACAAGAAGUAGAAAAUGUGCAAGGAUAACCAAAAGCAGGGAUGAGGAAACAGAGCAGUGUGGGAUGAGAAAUGGCAAAGGUGAAAGUGUAUGGUGAUGAGCUUUUCUUCUACUAUCGAUCUCUUUUCAUUAGUGAUUGAUAAUGUGAUGGAUCCAUUUCAUUAUUAGUGAUCUCUUCGCUGCAGUUUCAGAGAAGGAACGUGGCUGUGUUUGCUUAUUGGUUAGUAAAAGUCUUCGUCCCGCACUGGCCAGGCCGCUUGGGCUCCACACGGAUAUUAAGUAAUAUUCUAAAAGUAGUUUCCCCGCGCCUUUUACUUAUUCUACUGUACACAUAACCCGCAAUGUUGCGGAUUACUUUUUUAUAAAAAAUAUUAAAAAAAUAAAAAUUUAAAAAUUUUGAGUUUUUCUGCAAAGCUAUACUAAAAAAUCUUGAGUUUAGCUGCAACACUUAAUCUAAGAGUAAUAUUUAUAAUGUUAAUAAUAAAAUUAAACUUGCAUGAUCCAAGUUUAAGUUAGUCUGGCUGCAACAUCGGACCCAAGAAUAUUGGAUGUGGGUCUGACUAUAAGAUCGUGUCAUAAAAAUAUGAUAAUUAAAUAGAUUAAUUAAAAAAAUAAAGAAAAAAAAUCAAUAGAAAGAAAAAAACUAAUAAAGAAAAAGAAAAAAAAUGAAUUAAUUAGGUUAACCCUUUAAACCAGGUUAUCCCGUAAAACCUGAGAUUCACGUCAUAAAAGUUUGAUAAUUAAAUAGAAAAAAAAAUGACGGGUUUACCCAGAAUUAACUGGGUUAACCUAUCAAAUCAAGUUAACUCGUCAAGCCUAGGAUACGUGUUAUGAAAGUAUGAAAGUCUGAUAAUUAAAUAGAAAGAAAAUUAACUUUAACAAACUAAACUAAAUGAAAAAAAUAACUCGUCAAAUCAAGUUAACCUAUCAAACCCGAGAUCUGUAUUAUGAAAAUCUGAUAACUAAAUAAAAAAAUUAUCAUUAACAAACUAAAUCAAACAAAAAAAUUCAUUAAAAAAAUUAAAAAGAAAAAAAUAGUUAUAUAAUAUAAUAAUAAUAACAAUAAUAAGUAAAUAUAUUAGUAAAAGGCGUGACAUGCCCGCGCGAUGCCGCGGGCUUGUGGCAUGCUUAUACAUUAUCGUGGAUUUGUGAAAAAAAUCAUAUAAAAAAAUACAGUUAUCAUCCACAAUAUUUUAAAGGAAAAAACUACAAAGUUAUAUUCUCAACCAGCUCAAUAUUAAAAAAAACAAAAUCGACAAAAACAAUUAUGAAAAAAAACACACAAAAAAUGAAAACAAGAAGAUGACAAUUUUGGAAGAAAAAAGACAAAAAACAAAUAAUAAAAAAUAGGAAAAAAAACAUGUGGGGAAAGUUAAAGCUAAAUUUUCAACCAGCUUAAUAUUAAAAUCAUUUAAGAAAAUAUUGUAGCAAUUUAUAGUAUUUUGUAAAAAAAUAUAUAACUAUAAUUCUUAAACAGUUCAAUAUUAAAAAAAAAUUAAUAAAAAUAAUUUUGAUGGAAAAUAAUUGGAUGUUGACAAGAAGAAGUAGAAAAUGUGCAAGGAUAACCAAAAGCAGGGAUGAGGAGACAGAGCAGUGUGGGAUGAGAAAUGGCAAAGGUGAAAGUCUGGUGAUGGUCUUUACUGUUGCUAUUGAUCAAUUCUUCAUUACAUUAAAUGAAGGACGAAUUUUUUGCUUUUAGAAGUUGUGAUGUGAGCUUUAAACAAAUUAUAUGUUUGAAAAAAACCUACCAUACCUCCUAAGAAUGUUUUUAGCAGUGUGGUAACUGUUAUUUUUCAAAUAAUUUUUUGUACCGAAAGGUACGUCAAUGAUUUUUUUAUUUUUUAAAAAUUAUUUUUAACCAUAUUAAAUUUUAAUAAAAAAAUAAAAAAAAAAUUUACAUCUUAGAAACACAAGUUGAACCGUGUUUCCAAUCACUGCCUAAGCUGCCGUCCUUGACUAUUAUAUUGAUUAGGCUCCACACGGUCGAGACUUGACUAGCUGUGCUUACAAUAAAGCAAUUCAAUUUUCAAAGAAGGAACAUGGCUGUGAUUUGAAGACAAGAUUUGUCUGCCGGUGUGAACCCAAACUUUUGUUCAAAAUGUGAGCCAAAAUCCAAUCUAAAUUAAUUUAGUAUAUAAAAAAGUUGUAUUUUUUUUUUGUAGUUGUUAUAAUUCUCUCUCAUCAAUUAAAAAAUUUUAAUCUUUAAUAUUGAAUUUUUAGGUUUAAAAAAGGUAAAAAUAACAAGUAAGCAAUUCUUUUUCAUGUUUGGUUUGUUUAUGAAAAAAUUAAGAUUUAUAAAGAUUUGAAGUUUAUGUUUUUAAAAUGAAUUCAUGAUUAUUAUGAAUUUGAGGUUAAGUGAUUAAUUUUGGAUGUGUUGUUAGAAAUAAAAAUUUGUGAAUUAAUUUGUUAAGGGUUAAGAAAUUCGCUUCAACUUUGCUAGAAAAUAUGGACAAAAUAAUUUUGAGGUUGAAGAUAAAGAAAUUGUAUUUUGGUCCUUGAUUUAUAAAAAUUACAGUGUAGUUCCUAAACAUUGAAAAAUUAUAAUUUGACCUGUAACUAUAUUUUGGGAUUCUGAGUGGUAUUAUUAUGAGGUUAAGGAUAAUGACUCUCAGUUUAAUAAUUGAUUUAGGAUAUUUUUAGUCUGGUCCUUUAAUUUUGAAAGUUUACAUUUUAAUCCCUGAACUUUAAAGAAAUUAUAGUUCGGUCCCUGGUUCAUUUCUAGAUAGAAUUGAAAAUGGUUUGUUGGUAAAAUUUCAAUAUGGUUAUGUAUUUACAAUUUGCUUCAAUUUUGGUAAAAUUUUGUUUUGGCUCGUGAUUUCUAAAAAAUGUUGUUUUAGUCCUUAAACUCAUAAGAAUAAACCUGGUUUUAUUUUAUGCAUUGGAAUAUAUUUAUUUGUUGUUUUGGGUUGUUUUUUAGUAUAUUCUGGAUAUUUGUUAUAGGCUCUCCUAACAAUCAUCAAUAAAAUUUUCGGGUUUUUCAUUUGAUAUUCCUUUUAGUUAUAUAUUUUCUAAGUGAGUGAAAUAAUCUUUUUAAUAUUUAUAUAGGUUGCUUUAUUUUCUGAAUACUGAUUUAUUCUUGAAUUUAUACUCGCAUUCUAUUAAACUAAAUUAUAUUCGAUAUGAUAUACAUUUCUUUGAUGAUUCUGCGAAUACCUAGCUGGUAAGAGAGGCAUCAACUUGUUGUGACCGAUCCUCCCACAAUGAUCAUUUUCGGGUGUCAUAUGAUCUUUGACAUAUAUUCAACUACUUUAUAAUAAUAUGCUUAAUAUGUGAUCCUCCACAAUGAUCAUUUCGGGUGUCAUCUGAUCACCUUCGGGUAUCAUCUGAUCUUUGACAUAUAUUCAACUAUUUUAUAAUAAUAUGCUUAGUAUGUAUAUGUUUAUCAAGAUAAAUCAACUUGCAAACUAUUAAUAUCUAAAAUAUAUAUUAAAUAUUAUUCCCUCAAUGAGUUGGUUGCACUCACCUUUUAUUUUUAAUAUUAUUUUAGGUUUUUAGUUUCUGUUAGCAAGUGGCCUUUAUUGAGUAUUCUUGCUUCUUCAAUUUUGAUUGAUAUGUCUUGCUUAUUUUAUAAGACUUUCCUUUUAGUUUUGAUUCGAUGUAUUAGACACUUCAUUAUUACUUUAUUUUAAUUAAGUUUAGAUUUUAACAAUGUAAUAAGUAUUAUGAAUUUUUUUUUUAAUUACUGAUAAGAAGUUUUGAACUAUCAUUUAGUUUUAUUAAUUUUGAAUAAUAUAAUAUUUUUAAAGAUAAUGAAAUGCUAUAAAUUUUUAGAUAACUUAUUCUUUUAAUAUGUUUAUUUUAAAACUUAAUGUAAAUGAAAUAUUCUUUUGACAUCGUUUCUAUAUUAUUAGUCAUGAACUCGGGAUUCAUAACUUGAAUUGCCUUGUUUGUUAGCAAACAUCUUCUUCUCUACUCUCAUUUUUUUUAAUCAAUGGCCAGUGGCCGUCGGUGACCCCAUAUCCAUGUAGCCAAGCUGCGCACUGGCCAGACCCUCGGAAACACCAAUAUCUUCCAGCGCUAGUGAAUGCAAGUUGCCCAAGAUUGUAAUUGCAAGAGCAGAAACAAGUGCAUCAGCCAUGUUUUUAGGGAAUCCAUGAUCGAAGAACAGUGCAUAGUGAACUUUUUUUUCCCCGGAUUUAAUUCAAAUAAAUGUGUUACCUUCCAAUUAAUCUGGUAAUUACAGAAGAAAGAAGGGAUCUUGAAUAACAAGAAGAACAACAGAAGAAAAGAAACAGAGAGAAAGAGAAACUUUUAGUAACAUUCAACACUGGUUUUUUUUUUUUUUUUUUUUUUAACAAAAUCAACAUUCAACUCACACCAUUAAUAUUGUAUAUUUUUUUUUUUGUUAAUCAUAGGUACCCCAUGUUAGCUUUCACAUACCAAACGAAGUCUUUACAACCCGAAAUCAAUUUUUACAUAAGAUUAAAUUGCAUGUUUGAAACGCGGUGAAAAUUAUAUUCUAAAACUUUUAAUUCUUUACUUAAGAUAAAUUUUUUAUAUAUUUUUAUUAUUUUGAUGUAUUUUAUUAAAAAUAAUUUUUUUUAAAAAAAUAAAAAAUUUUAUUUUAAUAUAUUUAUAUACAAAAAAUAUUUUAAAUCACCACCAUUAUUUCAAUUUCAAAAAGAUAAAGCCCUGUGACCCGUGGCCCUAAAAGAUUUAAUGCUAGAAAAAUUCAAACAGGAGAAAGCAAACCUCCAAGCCCAUAACUAAAUACGGCUAGACCAACUCUUUGAGUUUCUAUUUACAUUGUUUGCUUGCUAUUGAUACUUCAUUCAUGGACAGACCGGAGUCCAGCCUGACGUGCAGCAUCACGAACUUCAGGUUUCUCAGUUCGCCUCUUCUGUAUGAGUAUGACCUCCAAAGUAGCACCUACAAUAGACCUUGAGAAAGGCUUUUUUGUAGCACGACGUCUCUUCGUAAAAGUUUCAGCAGCAAUGUCCUGUAAUUAUUAGGAAAGUUGUAUCAAAAUCAACAUCAUGAGUUCUUAUCUAAAGGGAAACUCAUCCUACAAAUAGAAGUUAAUUGGAAACUACAAAAAAAUAGUCACCUUCUUAUGUUGCUUCCUGUACAUUCUGUCCAGGUUAACUUUGAGGGCUUCCACCUGCUGUGGAAGUAUCUCUUGCAUUUAGAGUUGGCAAAGAGGAAGACCUUAAUUGAUUGAAAAAGCACCACUUAUUAGUUUCAUGGAUUGUAUUGCAGAAGAUAUUAAAUAAAAACAAAACACAAUACGCCUUCGACUCCGAACUGCAAAUUACCUGGGAAUCUGAGCGAACGAAUCUGAUGCCCUUGCCAGGAUAUGUCUUCGCCCCACUGAACCGGCAGAGUUCAGUCCUGAAAUCUUCCAGACCAGACAAGUUUGAUGCUCGUCAUGAUAACAUAUUGAAAACCUCAGAUGAGAUCAUUUGCAUAUAAAAAUGCUUCAUUCCAAGACAUAUAAGUUUGAUGGUUAACAAUGGCGUAUCUAAAACCUCGAUGAGGUUAUUCGCACGGUCAUGACGAAUAUUCUCAGAGGUGCAUCAGAUCCUAAAACCCCUUGGCAGAGGUCCAAAAACCCUUUCAAGUGGUCACAGACAGCAGGAAACAAUGAACUCUCGUCCCAACUUCAACUUCAUUGAAGCCUUAGCCAUUCUGUUCUCUUUGCUAUGUUUUCACUAGAAGCAUAUUUAUGGAAGAGAAAUCAUGGAUCUUUGGAACAACAUCUGCAUAAAUCUAAUUCAAACUCUAUCAUUGCAAUCCCUUUUGAAUUUCAUCACUUUUUUUUAAAAAAAAAAGUGCUAAAAAGAAUGUAAAGUUUCUGAGAGUUUUCUUUCUUUUGCCUUGUUAGGAAAUUCUUUAUUAAGAAUGUAUAAAAAAAGAGUAAAUGGAGCUUUGCUUUGUUCUAGAUGAGCAUCCAUGCAUGGUUUAAUAAGUAGAGAAUAAAAUCUUCCAUGAAAGCUUUAGUGUGAUAGACUUGAAUUACAACAAAGAAACUGACAAGCUGAGCACUAGAAAAGAUCAUUCAAGAUCUCAAUUAUGAAGGUUAAAACCAAAGCAUAAAGCAUAUUAUACAUUACAGCAAAAUCUAAUCGAUCAUAGUCCAAGAUCUUACAUUUAUGCUCACCCCCUAUCCUUGUGCAUAAAAACAAAAAAACAAAAUUAGGUUUAAAAGCUACUAUUUAAACUGUAUUACAUAUAUAUAUAUAUAUAUAUAAAAUUUCAUAUCAAAACCAUAUAAAAAAAAUUAAGAUCUUAAAUUUAUGCUCACCCCUAUCCCUAUUUUUUGUAAUCAAGAUUCCUGAAAAGUAUGAUCUCAAAGCUACCUAUGUUUGAGUGAUUUGUACCGUACCAAAAUUUUAAUUCAUGUGCGCUAACUUGAAAAGCAAAUGAUCUGAAAUCAAAAUGGAACACAUGACUAGUGUGAUUAUGGACAUGUUGCAAGAAAAGGUUUUUACUCAAGAAAUUACUCGAAAAAAAGGUGAAAGAUGUUGUUCGGACGUAUAUUAGGAAUUUUAAUGAUUAUCAAUUACAGGUUGAAAGCUUUAGAAAAUAUUAGUUUGGGAAGGUAUGUUCUUCCCAAACUAGCUUUACAAAAUGUUAGACGGAGAAAUAUUGCAUUUGAGCAGGAAAUUGUAGUUUUACACAUAGUUUUAAAACCCGGACCGGCCCGGCGGAUUGACCUGGGACCCGGCCGACCCGGGCAUGGGACCGGUCUGGGUGGAGGUCAAAACCCGCUUGGGAAUUGGUCCGGCCAGACCCGGUCGACCCGAGACCCGGCCGCAAACCCGUUAACUUUUUUUUUUUGUUUUUUUUUGUGUUAAAACGACGUCGUUUUGAUUUUUUAAAAAAAAAUUAAAAAAUAAAUUUUGACCCGGCCGACCCGGUCAAAAUCCGAAACCCAGGCCUUAGACCGGGCCGGGUCUUAAAACUAUAGUUUUACCUUUUCUUACUCUUGUUUCAAGAAAUUUGAAGUACUCUUCUAUUUGUGAAUAAUUUAAUAUUUCUUUAAGUGUAUUUUUUAUUAUUUCAUGUCAAAACCAUAUAAAAAAAAACAAUUAAAAGGGCACAGUUUUGAUAUUUUUAUGGAAAAAAUUAAUUAACAAAAUAUUUUCAAUUAUAUUACUAAACAUGCAUCUAAGCGACAUGACUCACUUGUUUUUGGUUGGUGCAUGUUACAUACGUUAAUGACCAUUAAUAAUUUUUUUUUAUUAUUGAAUUUGUUUUAUUGAAUUUUUUUUAAUUAUAUUAAAAAUAUUAUUAUUAAAGUUUCAAUGUGUUUUCAAUUCUCUUUUCUCUUUCUUGUUGAAGUUUGUAAAACUAUUUUUUAUGUAUUUUUUAAAUAGAUGCACUUUCUAACUAUAAGAAUUUGAAAAAAUCACAAGUGGAAAUUGCUAUUUACAUCAAAUUAGAAUAAUUUUAAAAUAUUUUUCUUUGUGUUAAUUAGCUAUUUAAAAAAACAAAAAAAAUGUGAUUUUAUUUUUAAAAAACUCCCAUCUUAUAGCAUUGGAUUAGGAUAAAGGUGCUUUCAAAAUUUGUGCGUAGAAUAUGUUCUUUCUAAUAUUCCGAUCAAUGACCAUCCAAUGGGUUUCUUGUAACCAUCAUCAAUCCAAUAUUGGAGAUAAGGUUUCCAGAAUCAUAAAGCCCUGCCGUUUUGGCACCUGAUGCCAACAUUAUUGGCCUACAGAAAGACAAUCAAAACUACUAAAGGCCAAUCACCGCCAUGCGAGUAAAGAUAUGUUUCGGAUUGAGUUUUGAAAAUAUUUUUGAAAAAAAAUGAUUUUUUUUUUAAAAAUCAAGGUAAUAUAAUGGGUCAUGUAUACAAAUAAAAUUACUGACAUAACUGAUUUCGUUUGUAAAAUCCAUCAAUAAAUUCAUUUGUAAACUGUUAACUUCUUCCUGACACUGUUUAUCAUGUCAAUUAUAAAGAAAAUCAUUGACAAAAUAUUCUUUUGAUAUUUCUUAGAGAACUUUGCAACUAUUUACUUUCCAAUUGCACUAUUAAUUAUUAUUUUUUAUAGAUAAAAUCACUGACGGAUUGAAAAUUUAUCGGUGUUAUCUGGCGGGUUUCUGAAAAUCUUUUAUUAAAUUAAAUAUUACAGACGAAAUCACCGAUGGAUUGAAAAGUUGUAGGUGAUAUUUGGCGGUUUCUGAAAAUUUUGUAUUAAAUUGAAAAUUUAAAUUAACUAUUACAGACGAAAUAAUUGACGGAAUGAUUAAAAAUAUUAAUAUUUAAUUAUUCAUCUGUAAAACACCCAAUAAAAAGACUAGAAUCCUUUAUUUCACAAUAGACGUGCCUCUUUUUUCUUCUUCUUCUUUUUUUUUUUUUUAAAAAAAAACAUCAACAUCCCUUUCUUUCUCUUCUCUCCUCAACUCCUUAUUUAUUUAUUUAAACGCUGCUUUUCAUUUUUAUUUUAAUGCUAUGUUUGUUUAUGAAGUUGCAUCUGUGUUUGAAGCAAAACACAGGAGUAACAUAUUUGAUAAUAAAAAAAACAUCAUUUACUGUUUAUGGGCCCCAUUGUUAUCCACCUUUGCAACGCAGAAUGAGACAAAGUAGCUCUUCGCUGCUUUUGUGGAGAGUGAAAAGUGGAGGGUGACUCCACUAUUCCGGUUGGAAUGGGUCCAAUUCAAAGCUAAAAAUGCAUUGAACCGGAUCCGAUCCAGUAAAAUAAAAAAAUCAUUUUUUUUAUUUUUAAUUGUGUUUUAUUAAAAAAAAAUUAGUGUUUUAACAUUAUUCAAUGACAUUAUAUAAAUUAUACGGGGAUUGCUUAAUGACGUAAUAUUUGUAGAAUUUGAUCAUAAUCCUAAUUUUAUUCAUGAUGUUGUUGUGCGCUUAAGAAACCAAGAAAACUGUAGUCAUUGUUGAAUGUAUUUCAUAUGUAAUGGAAUUGUAGAUAGUUUAAUGGAACAAUAAAAAAUAUUUUAUAUAAAGUAUUAUUUAUUUUAUGAUGUAAUAACAGUAAUUAAAUCUACAAUAUUUAAAUUAAAAACCAUCAAUAGUAAUAUAUAUUUUUUGAAAUUAUUUUAUAAUCUCAAUUUGAAAAGCAUUCUUAACCAAAUACAUUAAACUAUUUUUUAGUUCAACUUUAAUUUUAACCAAACAUAUAUAAAUAUCAAACCAACCUUAACUAAAAAUACUUUUUAUAAAAUACAUUUUUCAAACCACAACCAUAAAAGCUACCACAAUACCAAACACACUCCAGGUGUGUUUAUUUCUUGGAAAGUGGUUUCCCAGAAAUCACUUUCCAAACUUUCAUGUAUUUAUUUGCCAUUAUGAAAGUUGAUCAACAGAAAACACUUUCCAGUCAAAGAAAAAUUUGGCUUGGUUUCCAGGAAAGUGUUUUCCUUUUAUUUUGGGCGAAAAACACUUUCCGGAAGUUGUGAAAAAUUUAGAAAUGUCAUAUUAUUUGUUGAUUAUAUCAAAUUUGGUCCUCAAACUUUUGAUUGCUAUAUAUAUUUUGUUUUGAAUAUUUGUUUUUCAAUUUCAUCCCUUAGAAUUGAAUUUUUAUAUAAACUUUGGUCCUCAUUUUUAUUUUGCUUUUCCCUUAUUAUUUUUUAAUUGGAAUUUUUUAUCUAUCAAAUCUGGUCCUCAUUCUUUUGAUUGUUAUUUAUUUUAUUUGAAAUAAUUUAUGAAAUGAUAAUUAUUAUUAUUUUAAUUUCUUCAUCUUUUUAUUUUUUUAUUUUUUAGAUUUGAUCUCUAUUAUUUUGAUUAUUAUUUAUUUUAUUUGAGAUAAUUUAUAAAAUUAUAUAUAUUUUUUUAAUUUCAUUCUCAUUCAACUUUUUAAUUUGUAAGAUUUAUUCCUCAUUAUUUUAAUAAAUUUUAAAAAAUAAAAUAUUAAUAAGUUAUUUUCCAGCUCAUUUUCCAUGACAUAACCAAAUACUAAAAAGUAUUUUCUAAUUUAUUUUUCAUGAUACUAUCAAAUAUUGAAAAAUAAUUUAUUUUUCUAAAAUUUAAUUUUUUUUAAAAAAUUUACUUUUCAGUAAAUAAAUAGGAACUUAACUGACACCUCCCAAGUCCUAACGGAUAUCAUGGACCCGUAGGGUAGAUAUUGCCCCUUAGGAUCUUGCUUUCUUCUUCUAAGGCCCGCAUGUUGAUAUUGACCAUCUUGGGCACUUAUGGAACUUGGCCUGGGUUGACAGGUCGACCUGCGACCUGUUUACCCGGGCAUUCAAACUGGAUUGGAAAUUAAUUUUGUUAAACAAAGGUGAUAUGUUCUAUCAAUUCAUAAUUAUCGAUUCGAUUGAUCUAAUUAAUUUUUUUUUAUAUAAAAAACAACUUCGUUUAUUUAUGUUUAUUUAAUUAUUUAUAACUUUUUAUGCCUAAACGAGCCUGGACUUGGAUCGAAUCAGAUGACGAGCCUGGUCUGAUAACUUAGCCUUGAAGUUUAUUCUGUUAGAUCAUUAUUGUUUACUGUGUUAGGCAACAGAUAUCCCUCUAUUCAUACUCAGCUUAAUUUUUCAAUUUUGACUUUUAAAAAUAUGGAGAGAUAUAUGUCAAAUUCCGAUCGGUUCUGAUUUUAAGGAAAAAUAAAAAUUUAUUAAGAAUUCAAAAACAAAUUCAAAAAAUGCUAUUUUUUAUAUAAUUUGAAAAAAUAUAUAUUCUAAACUUUGUUUUAUAAAGCUAAAAAAUUACUAAAAAAUAUAUUUAAUUUAUAUUUAUGUAUACGAUAAUUGUUAAUUUAUUUAAUACUUGUUAAUUUAUUUUUUAACUUUAUUUUAUAAAGCCAACAAUGAUUAAAAAAUAUAUUUAAUUUUUAUUUAUUUAUACUAUACUUGUUAAUUUAUAUAACACUUUUUUAUGUCUUCAUCAAAAUUUUCGUGAAAAAUUAAAUUGAAAAAUCAUGGCUAUGAAAAAUAAACAAUACUCAUUUACUCCCUCAAAUAUGUUUCAUCAGUAAAUCCAUAAUUUUUCUUCGCUGAAUAUCAUUAGAUUUUCAUAAAAAGAUAUGAUUAUAAAGGUGAACAUCUUAGUGAUUUUUUAAAUUUUAUUAUUAUUUUUAGAGUUCUAAAUAAGAUUUUCUUUAAAUUAGAACCAAUAGAAAUCUAACUCGUGUUCUUCCAUAUCUUUAAAAGACAAAAUUAAUGAAAUAUUAGGCUUACUCUGAACAGAGAGAUCUAUACUGCCUAGUAGACAAAAUCAUAGAAACCCAAUUAUAUAAAUUUAAACCAUAAGGAUAUCUUUAUCAAAUAUCAAUAUAUCAGAGAGAUUCAUAGUACCAUUAAACCAAAGUUACACCUAAACUUGUCAUGCAAUAAAACACGUGCAUAUUCAUACAAUAAAAAUAAUAAAUAGACGUAUUUCUCCCUUUCUAUUACAAAGAUCAUUGCAAUACUUAGUAGAUGUAAACGGAAGGGAUGUGAGCUAUCUUAGGCCAGUCUUCUCCUCGCUCCUUCUCGCACCUUUUCUUCAAAUUUGGACAAUUUUCAAUUAUCAAGUCGCUGAGGUUGCUGAGACUCUGUAGCCCUUCUGGCAAACAUACCAAAUUAGGGCAUAUACAGAGUGUUAGAGAUCGGAGAGAAGUAAGAUGUUGGAUACUCUUUGGCAAUGAAUUCAGCUCUGGACAAAGUCUAAGCUCCAAAUCCUCAAGUACUGUCAGAUAUUGCACUCCCUCGGACAGAGACACAAAUUUAUCACAAUUGCUAACAGAUAACUUACGAAGAGAUGAUAAGCCGGACAACCCAUUCAUUGGCAGAGUGUAUAAUCUUGUACAACUAUCUAUCUCUAAAACCUCCAAAGAAGUGAGUUUUCGAAGACCUUCCUCUGGCAAGCUUUCAAGUUCAUCAAAAUGCCGGAUACUCAAGCUUUUAAGAGCUGAAAGGUUGUCAAAUACCUUAUUUGACAAAGACGGCAGAUUUCUCAUCCCAACCAUAUAUAAGAACUCGAGGAGUGUAUGAUUUUGCAAGAACCCAUCUGGAAGCAGCCUCACAUCAAUCCAUUCAAUAGAAAGGAAUGUGAUAGAAGUAAAUUUCAUAACUGACAUCAGUAACGAAGCAUUGCCUCUAUCGAUGAUUAACCUUUUGACGGAAGGUAUAAUUGGUAUUUCGGUCAACAAGGGGCAACGAACUACAGAUAAUUCUCGAAGACGAGGAAAACUACACGGAGCCCAUUGCUCUAGUCUCUUCAUUGAAAUAAAUUUCAGCCUCUCCAAAGAUGGGAAUGGAUUUUGCUCAUCUCCAUACACAUGGCUGUCAAUACACUUCACACCAUCCAUUCCAUCUAGUUCAAGAUUCUUGAGGAACUGUAAUUUCCCAAAUGGUGGAAGUUGUUCACAGUUGCCACAUGCUAUUAGCUUCAUCUCUACUAGAUUCGGUAGCAUCAAGUUCAAGUUCAUCAUCCACUUUGGAAAUUUUGAACCCCCAUAUCCAAUUAAUCUCAAUUCCUUCAGAUUUGAAUGAGGUUGAAGCCCAUCAAGGACAUCCUCAUUAUUUUCAGCUGAUUGCACACAAGUAAAAGGGCGGCGACCUCCAUUCUCAUUCCAACAUAAAUUCAGUGAUAGAAGAGUUGUCUUCAACAUCAAAUUGGCACUUCUGGCAUCUGUUAAAUUCUUAACAUUAACAAGAUCUGUGAUGCUUAGUUCACCAGCAAGAUUAUUCAGCCUUUCUAGCUCCCCUAAGUGACGACCAUCCUCCUUACCCACAAUGAACAGCCCAAGUUUUCGCAGGCAUGUUAAUUGCCCCAUUCCAAAUGGCAUAAAUCGAAGUGAAUGACAGCCCGUGAUGUCAAGAUAGAUGAGACUUUCCAUAUGCUUCAUACCUCUAGGUAAUUCGAUGAGCAGUGUACAAUGACUCAGAUUUAGUGUCUGAAGAUUUUGGAGGGAGGUGAUUGAUGCAGGCAAUUUUUCAAUGUGGGAAUAGGAGACAUCUAGAAACCUUAGAUGUUUCAAAUAACAAAUUGACUUUGGCAAUGUAUUGAGAUGGAUACCUAUAUGCAAGGCUCUCAGAUGCUUUUGUUGGGUGAAAUAAAGAUGCAAAUCAUCACUCACAAGGCGUGUGUGAUGAUAAACUCCAGAAAGCAAAAUUGAGCGUAGAGACCUAGAUUUGAAAUCCUUGUCUUCUGGAACAAACUGUGAUGUCCUGUAUGCACCCACAUGACGAAUUGUUUUAGGAAUUUGCAACUUUGUAUUGCCCUCAAUCAAACAACAUUCUCUCUUCAUAAUGUACUGUGCAAGAUCAUGGAUAAGAUCGUGCAUUUUACAUGUCAUGUAGCCCAGCGCAUCAUCCCUGACUUCUUGAAAAAAAGACCUCCCAACUAAUUCGUGGAAAAUCUCUUCACCCUUAUCGUGCAAAUCCAUUUGCCCAGUGCUCGAAAUGAAGCCAUUUGCCAUCCAUAGAGCUACCAACCGCUCCUUCCGAAUGACAUAAUCUUUGGGGAAUAUAGAGCAAAAUGCAAAGCAUUGCUUCACAGCUGGCUUUAGAUUCAUAUAACUCAAACUCAAGGCAGGUAAUAAUAUCUGGCUUCCUUCAUUUGGCAGAUCCCAAAUCUCACUUUCUUUGACAGACAGCCACUCCCUUUCACUUUUCUUCGAGCGCAUCAGGCUUCCGACUGCUCUUAUAGCCAACGGAACUCCGCUACACUUCUUAACUAUCGCUGCUCCAAUGUUUUCCAAGUGACCGUACUCCUCUCUCCUUCUCAUACCAAAUGCAAGCAGCUUAAAUAAAAGCCAGGAAUCCUCAUCCGACAAUGUUUCCAUAUGUUGAACAGGAUUUGUGGCCAUUUUUUCAGCCAUAGUUCCCAAACGAGUAGUCACAAUAACUGCACUUCCUUUAGCUCCACAGCUCAAUGCAUCUUUCAACUUGCUCCAGUUAUCAUGGUCAUCAUCCCAAACAUCAUCCAAUAUGAGCAAAAACUUCUUACCACGUAAAUUUUCUUGGAGGCAUCGUAGAAGAGCAUCCAACUGUGGAAUAUUUGCAGUAGUGCGUUGAAUGGACUCGAUGAUGGCUGUUGUCAAUCUUUUUAUGUUGAAAUCAACUGAUACGCACACCCAAAUCCGCAAAUCAAAAUGCCCUUCUAUUCUUCCGUCGUUGUAGACUAACUGAGCAAGUGUUGUUUUACCCAAGCCCCCCAUUCCACAUAUAGCAUAAACAGAGAAAUCAUCUGAACUGGUGAGCAGCAUGUUGACCAGAUCUUCUUUCUCCUUGCCCCUUCCAUAAAUUCCUGAUUCAUCCACCCAUGACCAAGUCUGACGCCAAUCAAAACUAUCUGCUUCUAUCUCCAAAGCCCCUUCAAUUAAAUGGAAAUCGUGUCUCCCCUUGGCAAUGCGAUCUAGUGUUUCUGUAACAUUCUUCAAUUUACGAGCCAUCCUUUGUCGAAAAACAAGAGGAUUAUGAUUGAUAGAAAAGAAGGAUCUUAGCCAAUUUUUGAGAUCUCUUCGCUGCUGAUGCCACUGAGCUUCAAAAGCAAACUCAUCCAGUACAUCAUCAACAACAUAAGCUGCAUCCUUGAGGUCGCUGAGCCACACCUUGAUAUGCUUACUCUUCCACUGCUUCUCCUCUGCAUCUUGCAGCACAGCUUGAAUGGUUAUGAACGUGCGCUUGAGAUUUUCAAGCUCGGUCGUUAGGCCCCUAGCAAGUCCAAGCUCUUGAAGAACUAGGGAAUUCAAGUUCCCCAUUAUUGUACUCGCGAGAGCAGAAAGAAUUGCAUCACCCAUGGCUUGUUUUGGAAUGGAAAAGAAGAAGUAGAAAAGGUGCAAGGAAAACUAAAAGCAGGGGAGGUGAGCAAGAAAUGGCAAGUAAAAAUUGAGAAGACAGCAGUAUGAGAUGAAAAAUGGAAAAGGCAAACAGCAGUCUCUGAUUAUAUUGAUUAGGCUCCACACGGUGCAGGCUUGACUUGGCUAUGCCUAUAAUAGUAUAAUAAAGCAAUUGAAGUUUCAGAGAAGGAACAUAGCUGUGAUUUCAAGCAACAUUUGUCAAUUAUCGCAUGCCUUUUCCUGUUUUAAACAGAAACGUGAUUAACGCUUUUGGCUGUGAAUUCUCAAGGGUAUUUUUCUUUUCAAUAUAUUCUCCAUUAGUUAGAACACAGUGCAAAAAGUUUUUCAUAAAUGUGUUUUAAUCCUCGGUUAGAGUUAAUUUAUUCUUAAUGACAGUAGAAUGACAUCAUAAUCACAACUAAUCUCAAAAACUUAUUUAAUCAACUUAAUAUUAAAUAAUAAAAUAAAAUAAAAAAUCGAGGUAAUCAAGCAACCCGCGACCUGGACAAAUUCCAACAGGAACACAAGAUUGGUUAUGUAAAAAAGAAGUGCAGAAGGACCAAAUAAUUGCUCACUCCGUGGAAUAAACAAAUAUUAGUCUAUCUUGGACAUGAAUAGAGAAAGGUUAUUAUAUUUUCAAAUAUUUGUGAUUUGAGAGUUGGGGUUCAAUUUUAUCAAAAUAUUAAAACCGCUGUCUUUUAACUACACUGAUUAGGCUCCACACGGUGCAGACUUGACGAACAUUGAAUGUCUGUAUUAAAGCAUUGAAGUUUCUGAGCAGCGACACGGCUGUGAUUCGAAGACAACAUCUGUCAACUUGAAUUUCCUUGUUGGUUACUAAACGUCUUCUUCCCGCGCUUGCCAACCCGCGUGGCUCUACACACUUAAAUUUUAAAGAAUUACAUUAGGCUCCACACGGUGCUGACUUAACUAGCCAUGCCUGUAUUAAAGCAAUUGAAGGUUCUGAGAACCAACACAGCUGUGAUUAGAAGACAACAUUCCACCUUGAUUUUUCUUUUCAAUUGAAGUUUUUGCUUGCUCAAAUAAUUUAUCUAUGCAAAAGUCAAAAUGUAUUUUUAUAACGAAAUAAUUACUUUCUCAAAUAAUUCUGAUUACAAAACUUUAAAUACCAUUGAAAAUGAUUUUUCAAUAAGAAAAAUGCAUACAUGCCUAGUUGCUCAUAUGCUAAUGUACUUAUCCACUACUGUGCUAAUUUGUGAAAUAUUUUUGUCUACUGCGUAUAGAAAAAAACUCUCAAAUUUCUCUUUGUUCUCUGUUGUACCAUCAAAAGAAAAAUCCAAAGUGAUAAUGCAACAUCCAAAAGUAUAAAAUAUGGUAUAAAAACCAAAUAAAAAAAUAAUAAUUAGGGAUUAAAUUAAAAAAUAAAAUAAAAUAAGAAAAAAAUUUAAAAAUAGCAAUAAAAAGAAUAAAAACUAUUAUUUAAUGAAGAAAUUAAAUGAAAUAAAAUAUUGAGAGUUAAAAAUAAAAAACAAUAAAUCAAGAAAAUAAUAAGAAAAAAGAAAUUAAAAGAAUAAUGAUAAAAUUUAAAUUAAAAAAUUUUAAAAAAUAAAAUGAUAAAGGAAAAAAUAAAUCAAGAAAAGAGUAAAUUAUAUUAAAAAAAAACAUUAAACAAAACAAGAAUUAAAUUAGAUACCAAAACUAAAUAAAAUAACUGACUGGGCUCUACACAGUGCAGACUUUGACUAUCUAUGCCAAUUGAAGUUUCAGAGAAGUAACAUGGCUAUGAUUCGAAGACAACAUUUAUGAACUUGAAUUAGCUUGUCGGUUAGUGAAUGUCUGUGUCCCGCACUGGCCAAUCCGCGUGGGUCUCACACGCCAGGCAUGAAAGACAAGAAUGCCUCAAUCAGAUGCAUGAACAUAAAAGAUGGAAGAAAAGAAAAGAUGGUGGAGUCCUUUAGGUGGGUCUCCACGAAGAAAUUAUGCAACCAAGAGGCAAUGUACCCUUCACUUUCAUAUCCAAAGAUCGCAAAAUAUCUGAUCAAAACUGUGAUCCAAUUUUGCCCGUGUGAGAUGGAGGAACUUCCCGGAGGAGGGAGGGUUUUUAGGCGAGUUAAGCAUCUCCAAUAGAGAUGUUAUUUUAAAAAGAUAAAUUGAUAAAAUAAUAUUUUAAAUAGUAUAAAUAUAACUUUUUUUACGAUGUAUAUUUUAAUAGAAAAAAGUUAUUUGAAAAACCAAUUCUAUUAUAAUAGAAUAAAUAAGUGUUUUAUAUUUUUUUAAUAAUUUUGAUGUUAUUUUUUUUCUACAUGGCUAGAUUUAAUUGAUUUUUUUUUUUUUGCCCCACUUGGUUAAUUUUGGCUUUUUUAAAAGAUAUAUAGGAAUAAUAUUUAUGGAAAAGAAAAGGUAUUUUAGCAUUUUAUUUAGCUUUUUCUUUGAAGUAUAAAAACAAAUAAAAAAAAACCAAAAUAUUAUUUUUUUAUUUUUAAAUAUUUAUUUAGCCUCUCCAUUGGAAAUGCUCUUAAGGUUUGGUUUCAUUGCUAUGGAGGAACUUCCCGGAUUCCGGCUACAAGCCUAUCUACCUAUCUUUAACUUGUCCUUGUGGGUGUGAGUUGUGACUUCUGCUUCCAACAUAUGGAUUGUGCUUUAUAUAAUUUUAUAAAGAUCCAAAAUUGCAUGAAAAAAAAUAAAAAAAAUAUAAAACUUUAAAGAGAGAAAUAAUUAAGCGUUGAAGAGACACCAUAAUUCUAUUAUAGGGAAACUCUCAUGUUACUCUCCAACUUGUAUAUCCAUUCUCAAUUACAUUUAAAACCUACGAAUUUUUUCAAUUAGGUUCCAAACAUUUCAAAAUAUUCUCAAUUAGUGUUUUUUUUUUUUUUUUGUCAACGUUGUCGGUAUUUUUGUCAAAUAUUCUUAAAACCGAUGUCUGUUUUAGAGCAUAAAUAUACAUAUUGGAUAUAAAAAAUAUGAAUACUCGUAAAAAACAGUUCCUCUAUUUUUAAAAGAUAAAUUAAUUAAAUUUUUUUUAAAAAUAAAUUACCUAGUUCAUUGACCAGGUUACUUUUUUUAUAAUAUUUAUUUAUUCAUUUCCUUUCUUCUAUUUUCUUUUUAAAAAAAACGUAAAUGAACAGAAAGGACUAAAUAUAUAUAUUUUUUUUUAAAUAACUAAUUACUUCAUUUCUCAAAACUAAAAGGACUUAGUUUUAUAAUUUAGACCACAAGGGUGCAUUGGAAACCUUGGACUCCAAGGGUGAGUCAUCUCCACGUACUAUUGAGGAUUAGGAUGAAUAUUGAAAGUGACCUUACCUGCAACACGUGGUCGUAUGGUCUUUCAAUUUCAGGUGACACAUGGGUCCCACAAACCAUCAUCAUUUUAUUUCAUUUUCCCCUGCCUUGUGGAGAGAAAAAGAAAACCAACCAAGUCUUCUUCCUCCCUCUCUCCAGGACAGGAAGCGGGACCCAAUCUCAAAUACCCAACCCAAUCCUAGCCGUUGAUUGUUUUUUUCCUGGAUUCCUACUCUCUCUAUCUAGCUAUCUACCUGAUCCAGCUGGAUUUAGCUGUUACAAACUGUAACAAUCAUAUUUCACCCGCUUGAGUUGAGCUUGAGCUAUCUACCUAGCUAAGCCGUCGAGCAGUAAUAUUCAAGCCGACUUGAAAUAUUAGCUGCCAUUACGAUUUCCGUCACCAGUCUAACAUCUAAUUAAUAACUUUAAUAAUCAUUCAUUUCAUAUAUUAAUAACAAUAACAAUAAUAAUAUUGUACUCAAAACUUAUAAAUAAAAUAAAAAUUUUGAAUUUUUAAAUCUUAUAUAAGAUAAUAAUUCUUAUUAAAUAAUUUCUUACCAUCAUAAUCAUUAUAUUAGCCACAAUAAAAAUUAUCGGAUCUAGACAGUUAGGCAUAACCUCGAGCCCAGCUCGAUUAUAAAAAAAUAUUUCAGCUUUCAUCGCCCACAAACCUCCCUCCCUCCCUCAUUUUUUAUGGUUUAAUUCUAUAAUACACUUCAAGCUAUUAGGACAAUAUUGAAUUUAUAUUUAAACUAUUUUAAUUAUAAUUAUUCCGAGUCAUGAGAUCAUAGGUUGCUACAACGCAAUUUUUCUAUGGACAAAAUUUAUUUUAUAGUGCCGGCGGGGUAUCUUUUGAAGUGUUCAUGUAUAAAUUUGAAGCAAAGUAAUGAAGAGACGUGAGACAAUGCAGUAGUGAAACAGAGUUAUUUAUUCAUACCUCUUUCUUAUGAAGAGACGUACAUGUGUAUAUAUAGAGUGGGAAAAACUUGCAGCAAGGAAAGACAAUCUUGCAUAUAUUUUCUCCCAUGAUUAUUGCUAAGAUUAUAUGUUAAUAGUAAAUACACAAUCAUAUCUAAACUAGAUAACAAGUACUUGAUGAGUUGUUGCCAAUGGUUAGGUUUAAGAGAAAAACAUGGCAGCUCCUCCUUUAUGGGUAUGCUAUAUAUAUACUUCAUCUAACCAACAAAAGAGAAGUAAUAUAUUUUUCUUUGCAGAUAUCUAGAGACAAAGUUCUUCUCUGCAGUGAAGCCAAUGUAGGGGAGACCUGUAACCCUGAUUUUUUUUUUUUAAUUAAUAUGGUUAUUCGGGUUAGCUUACGCCUACUUCGAUUAAUUCUAUUGCAUGAACCUUGAAAUUAAUAACUAUAUAAGUCUUCAAUAAUCUUGAAAAUAUUUAAAUUCAUGAUCAUUAAAGAAUAAACUCAAAAUUUAACUUGUUGAGUUACCCCUCAAGAUUUCUAAUACCCUGACUCUUGUUUACACACAAUGCCGGCGGUGAUAGUUAGGGGUGAUCAUUUUCGAUUUGGUUCGGUUUGAUUUUUAUUAAAAAAAAAUAAUCAAACCAAUUUUUUUUUUUUAAACCAAAACUAGUUCAAACCAACCGGUUUUGGUUCGGUUUUUUAGGACAAAAAGCCGGUUUGGCUCGGUUUUCUUGGUUUUGACUCAGUUUUUUCUGGUUUUGGCUCUGGUUUUUUGAUUUGGCUCGAUUUUUUCUGGUUUGGGUCCGGUUUGGUUUGGUUUUUUGGUUUUAGACUUAUAAAACCAAAACCAAACCAACUGAUUUUUUUAAAAUUUUAAUUAAUUUUUUUCACGAUUUAAUUUUUUCAAUUAUUUUUUUCAGUUUUCUUAAUUUUUCGAUAUUUUUACUCACUCUAUCACUCUAUCGUAUGUUUUGUUUUUUACAGUAAAGAAGGCUGGUGUUCUUACUAUUAGUUUUUUUAUAUAUAUAUAAAUUAAAGAUCAUUAAUGGAAUCUGCUAUGGAAAGAAUAUUCAAAUAUUAGAGAAGUGCACAGGGACAAAAUAAUUGCUCACUCCCUGGAAUAAUCAAAUAUUAGUCUAUCUCGAACAUGAAUAGAGAAAGGAAGAAAAGAACACGUCAUGACUUUGAACAGAGAAAGUAAUAAUUGCCCAUUCGCCUUGAAAUUCUAGCUGUACAGCAUUUGGAAUUUCACGAGGCAAAAGAUUCUUAACAAUGAGUUAAAUCUCCCUUUUGAGGUGGUGACCUGACCUGUCGGAAUUGCUUUAUAGACAAGAAUGGAUUCAUGAGUCAUAUUCUACAAGAAACAAGCAAGUCAUUUGACUCACAUAAGAAAGAUGGAAAUAUAUUUCCCCUUUAAUAAAGAGCUAAAAGGGUACGCUAGAAAUUUAAAAUUUUUUAAAAGUACAGUCCAAACAUUGUAUAAUUACCCUCACAAACUUUCAAUAAUAGAUACCAUUUGUUACGCAUAAUUAUGGUAUUUCAAAUUACGCGUGCUUGCUGUGAUUUUCUUCCAUGCACAUAUCUCAAGUAAAUGAAAGCAGGCUUCUGGAACAUGAAGAACUGAGAGGUGCCCGUGCCCUUGCCUUUCAUACAGCGAAGCACCAAUCCAGGUCCGUUCAUGGCUUUUCAGCAAACAAGGAAACCAUUGGCGAUGCUUUUACAGAGUGCUCAAUCACUUUUCUAUUUUUUACAUUAGAAUUUAGAUGGAUACAGAGUGCUCAACCAUCGGGUUAUAAAUUUCAUUUUACUAACAAAACAAUGUUCCCGGGCAACACAUCUCCCCUCGAGUUAUAAAUUUCAUUUUACUUUUUUUUUCGUUACUGACAACGUAUAAAUUUCAAUUACUUAAUUUUUUACUGAAAUUUCAUUAUAACUUAAUAACAAAAUGUAGAUCAUAUAUACUAAGAUUCGCUCCAAUAGAAGCAAUGACCAUGAUGCAGUGACACAUGGAAAAGUUAUACAGUAAUGUAGGUCAUUCUCAGGCUUUUUUUUUAUUUUAUUUUUUUUGUAGUUUUUCUAAUAUACCCAUGACAGGGUAGACUUGUCCUAUAUAGACGAAUCAACUGUUAAAUGUUCCACAAAGAGUAUGGCAGGCCAAAAACACUCACUAUGUUUUGUUAUGUAGGCAUGCAGCUGCUCUUUCCAGGGCUUUCUCUUUGUUGUUUUUAACAAAAAAAGCAGAGAUAUUUACUCAAACCUUCUCAGGCAUUCAUAUCAAACGAACCCUAGCUACGUGUGAAGAAGAUUGAAAGAGAAUGAUCAGUAAGGAUACAUAGAGGAUUUAAAAGCUGUGAAAGCUUGCUCAUGUAGUCGCUGGAUGAAUUAAUCGAGGAGUUUACAAAUAGGCUGGAAUUGCAUCGACACUGAAAUUAACACCUUCAAUUCAAAAAUGAUUUUGACAUUUUGCAGAUAUGGUUCCUUAUCUACAGCUUAGUGAUAUUUAGAGAGAGUUUUCGGCAAAUGCAGCCCACAUUACUAUUCAAUCUCAUGAUGAUGCGUGGCAUCAGAUCGAAUUGUUGAGUUUUCGCGUUGAUAAUCUUCAAAUUUUCUGCAUUUGGACCUAACUGUGAGAUGAAUGGUUUUAUUCGUCAUGACUGUGCAAAAACUUAUUUAAAUCAUCGUUAUUUUCAAAUUAAAGAAAAAUAUUUAUGAUCACAUUUAGUUAAAAGUUACUCUUUAGAAUCAAAUUGAACUAGAUUUUUUAAUUCAUGUCAUCUCAACUAACUUUUAUCAAACGCUUAUAAGAUCAUAGAUCCUUAUGAAUAUAGUAUUUUUUGUAGUUGAAUAAUGGGUUUAAUCAAAUCUCCAUGCUAUUGAUUCAUUUUUCAUGACACAAAAAGGUGAUAGCUUGAUGUAAAAUUCUAACACUUGCAAAAUAGUUUUUUUUUAAUGGAUUUGAAUACCUUCAAAUGCUUAAUUAAGCAAGAGGAAAAUAUAUAAAUAUGCAAAAGAAUAUUAAAUUCUAAUAACAAAAUUAUUUUUUUGUUUUGAUAUGAAAAUAUGUAUUUUAUAAGAAAAUGAUGAGUGUAUGUUGAGAUUGAAAAUUAUAACCCUUAUAUGGAUAGUUUAAGGAGUAUCUAUACCCAAAAACAUUAUCAUUUUCCUUAAGUGAAGGGGUUUGAAUUAUUUCACCAUGAUAGCAUUAAAGAAGAACAAAAAUCUUUCAUAUAUAUAUAUAUAUUAUUAUAUAUUAAAGAGAAAUAUUUCUAACAUAAAUAUUUAAUAAAAUUUAAUACGUAAUAAAAACUCUUGUACACCGAAAAUAUAGAUUGAACAUGAUUCAACUAAAGAACUUGAAUAAAAUAAAAAUAUCAAGAAAUUUGAUACGGGUAGAAGCCACAAGACAAUGCUCAAAGGUAUUAAGCCUAGCAUGGGCCUAAAACCUUUUUUAAAAUGUUCUUCCUGAGUUGUCGUUAAAACAUGCUUGGAUUAACAUGUAAAAUGAUAAGAGAAUAAUAGAAUUUGCUGGAAUGAAAUUAUUAUUGAUUGCAUUGCAUAUUUAUAUAAGAGUAUCUACAUUUAUCUCUUCUACUAUGAAUCCAACACUUGGAAUUCAUUGUCCUAUAAAGAAUUAUUAUUACAGUAGGAAAUCAUGUAUAAAUUAUUCAUUCCUAAUAUAUCUCUAUCAGGAUUCCUAAUACUCCCCUUCAAGUCGAAGAGUGGAUGUCCUACACUCCCAACUUGUGAAUCAUGAAUGAAGACAUCUUUUACUAAGGGUUUGGUGAAGAUGUCUGCCAAUUGAUGGUCAAAAUGAACAUGUCUUGUUAUCAUAGAAUCAUCUUGAAUUUUUUCCUUGAUAGUGACAGUCCAUCUUAAAAUGUCAGGUGCACUCAUGAAACACUAGGUUGGCUACAAUGUGUAAUGCAACCUUGUUAUCAAUGUAGUAAAGCAAGUUCAUGAUGUAAAAGGCCUAAAUCCCUCAACAGACAUCGGAGCCAUGUCAACUCACAACAUGCUCCUGUCAUUGCACGAUACUUUGCCUCUGCAGAGGAGAGUAAGACUGUUUUUUGUCAUUUUGAUCUCCAGGAUAUCAAUAAGGGUCCAAGAAACACACAAUAACCCGUGGUAGACCUCUGAGUUAGUGGGCAACCUGCCCAAUCCGAGUCUGAAUAAGCUCUUAAUUUGUAAUCAGUGUGUGAAGGAAAGAAUAACCCUUGACCAGGAGCUCCUUUCAGAUAUCGGACAACCCGGAAAGCAGCUUCCAUAUGAAGCUUCCGGGGUUGGUGCAUGAAUUUGAGGAACUGCAAGUUCCUCAAUGGUGGAAGUUGUUCACGGUGGUCAACACAUUUCAUUGUAUAUAAUAAUAAUAAUAAUAAUAAAAUAAUAAUAAUGUACUCAAAAAUUUAGAAGUUAUAAAAUAAAGAUUUUUUUAUAUCUUAUAAGAUAAUAAUUCUUAUCAAACAAUUUCUUACCGUCAUAAUCAUUAUAUCAGCCACAAUAAAAACUAUCGGAGCCAGGUUGGCAUAACCUAGAGCAUUCUUGCGUAUUUUCUAAAAGAGAAAGAAAACAUUUUUUCAUGAUUUUUACUUUUUUAUUCUUAAAUAAACAAACAUUCAAAAUUAACUUAAACAUUAGGAUGCAACAACAACUCCAAUUCCAAAACAAAAAAUAACAAAAUAAUAUGAAAGCAAGUAACACUCAUAUUUAUACAUUCUAAAAAGAUAUACCCAUCGCUCUUGCGUGAGCUGCUCCAAGUGAUCUAGUCACCAUCAACCUCCAACAUCUCACUCAAGCAUUAGAAAACAUCUAGGCAUAAAACAAGCCCCAUGACUCACAUAAAAAAAAUAUUUCAGCUUCCAUUGCCCAGAAACCUCCCUCCCUCCCUCAGUUUUUAUGGUUUAAUUCUAUAAUAAACUUCAAGCUAUUAGGAUAAUAUUGAAUUUAUAUUUAAACUAUUUUAAUUAUAAUUAUUCCGAGUCAUCAGAUCAUAUGUUGCUACAACGUAAUUUUUCUAUAGACAAAAUUUAUUUUAUAAUGCCGGUGGGGUAUCUUUUGGAGUGUUCAUGUAGAAAUUUAAGCAGAGUAAUGAAGAGACAUGAGGCAGUGCAAUAGUGAAACAAAGUUAUUCAUUCAUACCUCUUUCUUAUGUUGUACAUGUAGAGUGGGAAAAACUUGCAGCAAGGAAAGACAAUCUUGCGUAUAUUUUCUCCCAUGAUUAUUGCUAAGAUUAUAUGUUAAUAAUAAAUACACAAUCAUAUCUAAACUAGAUAACAAGUAAGUUAUACUUGAUGAGUUGUUGCCAAUGGUUAGGUUUCAGAGAAAGACAUGGCAGCUCCUCCUUUACGGGUAUGCUAUAUAUAUACUUCAUCCAACCAACAAAAGAGAAGUAAUAUAUUUUUCUCUGCAGACAUCUACAGACAAAGUUCUUCUCUGCAGUCAAGCCAAUGUAUGGGAGACCUGUGACCCCUGACUUUUUUUUUUAAUUAAUAUGGUUCGAUUAAUUCUAUCCCAUAAACCUUGAAAUUAAUAACUAUAUAAGCUUUCAAUAAUCUUGAAAAGAUUUAAAUUCAUGAUCAUUAAAGAAUAAACUCAAAAUUUAACUUGUUGAGUUACCCCUCAAGAUUUCUAAUACCCUGACUCUUGUUUACACACAAUGCCGGCGGUGCUAGUUAGGGGUGAUCAUUUUCGAUUUGGUUCGGUUUGAUUUUUAUUAAAAAAAAAGUAACAAAACCAAUUUUUUUUUUAAAAAAACCAAAACUAGUUCAAACCGACCGGUUUUGGUUCGGUUUUUUAGGACAAAAAGCCGGUUUGGCUCGGUUUUCUUGGUUUUGGCUAGGUUUUUUCCGGUUUUGGCUCUGGUUUUUUGAUUUGGCUCGGUUUUUUUGGUUUGGGUCCGGUCCGGUUUGGUUUUUUGGUUUUAGACUUAUAAAACCGAAACCAAACCAACCGAUUUUUUUAAAAUUUUAAUAAGUUUUUUUCACGAUUCAAUUUUUUCAAUUAUUUUUUUUCUAGUUUUUUUAAUUUUUCGAUAUUUUUACUCACUCUAUCGUAUGUUUUGUUUUUUACAGUAAAGAAGACUGGUGUUCUUACUAUUAGUAUUAUAUAUAUUAUAUAUAUAUAUAUAUAUAAAUUAAAGAUCAUUAGUGGAAUCUGCUAUGGAAAGAAUAUUCCGUUAGCAAUUCUAAUUUUUUAGAUUUUUUUAAUUUCGACAACAAUUUUUAAUGCUAGCAAAAUAUUUCAUUGAUAUUUUUAUUGGUAUUAGAAAUCAUUAACGAGAUAAAAAAGUUUAAUGAGCAACUUUUUAAAGAUAAUAUUUCAUUAGUAAUUUCAUUGAUGUUUUCAUUGGUGUUAGAAAUCAUCAAUAAUUUCUAAUAAUAACAAAAUUCUCUCUAAAUACUGAUAUAAUAUUCUUUUAACAUUCCUUAAUUUUGUGCUAGUGUUUAACGUAAAUAACUUCCUUUUGUUUUUCAAUUAAACAAAUUAUCAUACUUUAAAUUGCAUACUGAUAUAUUUUUUUUCUUACUUUAAAAAUUAACUUAAAAACUUACAUGUAGUAUAACAAGAGUUAUUGCACCAAUGAGAACUAAAUACCAUUAUCUUGUAAAAAAAAAAAAAGUAGGUUGCAGUCGAGAAAUAAUUUAUUUCCAUUUUAAUUUUGUAUUUUUGACAAUGUUUUAGGUUUUUUUGGGCUAAUAAAUUAUUAUUUUUUUAAGUUUUAAGGAUGUUGAUUAAUUAUUUUUUUGAUGAAAAUAAUGAAAAUAAAUUUUUAGAUAAAAAGAACAUCCUCUCAAUUUUUAGUCACUUUUACUAGAAUUUAGAUGUGGAAGUUACACGUCAUUUGUUUCUUAAAAAAAUUAGAAAGAUGACAAAUUUGAAAAAAUAAUGAAAAAAGCCUUGAGAUGCAGUGGCAUAGGCUAGCAGACCCGCAUGCUUAGACUUAUUUUUAAAGGUUCCAUCUUGCUAAGCCACAGGACGUGUACCUUGCUUUUAUUAAAAAAAAAUUCCAAUAAUUUUGGUUGUGAUUUCUUAAAUUUUAAUUAAUCAAAUAUUUAUUAGUUAUAUUAUUUAUUAGAUUCUUAAAGUGAUUAAUUAUAUAUUUAGAUAUUAUUUUAGUUAAAGUGAUCAUUUUUUACCAUGUUUUAGAAUAAAAUUAUUUCUGAACGUGCGGUUGAGAUUUUCAAGCUCGGUCUCUAGGCCCCUAGCAAGUCCAAGCUCUUGAAGAAUUGGGGAAUUCAAGUUCGCCAUGAUUGUACUCGCGAGGCAGAAGUAAUUGCAUCAGCCACAGCUUGUUUCGAAUGGAAAAUAUUGGAUGUUGACAAGAAGAAGUAGAAAAUGUGCAAGGAUAACCAAAAGCAGGGAUGAGGAGACAGAGCAGUGUGGCAUGAGAAAUGGCAAAGGUGAAAGUGUCUGGUGAUGGUCUUUACUCUUGCUAUUGAUCAAUUCUUCAUUACAUUAAACACAUUAUACGUUUGCAAAAAACCCACCAAAGACCACACCUCCCAUCUAAACUGCCGUCCUUGACUAUUAUAUUGAUUAGGCUCCACACGGUCGAGACUUGACUAGCUGUGCUUCCACCAUUGGAGAUAAGGUUUACAGGAUCAUAAAGCCUUGCCGUUUUGGCACCUGAUGCCAACAUUAUUGGCCUACAGAAAGACAAGUGGACAUCAAAACUACUAAAGGCCAAUCACCGCCAUGCGAGUAAAGAUAUGUUUCGGUUUGAAUUUUUUUUUUUUUUUAGAUCAAGGGAAUAUAAUGAGUCAUGUAUACAAAUAAAAUUACCGAGAUAACUGAUUUCGUUUGUAAAUCCAUCAAUAAAUUCAUUAAUAAACUGUUAACUUUUUCCUAAUACUAUUUAUCAUGUCAAUUACAAAUGAAAUUAUUGACGAAAUAUUCUAUUAAUAUUUCUUAAAAAACUUUGCAACUGUUUACUUUUUAAUUGCACUAUUAAUUAUUAUUCUUUAUAGAUAAAAUCACUGACGGAUUGAAAAUUCAUCAGUGUUAUUUGGUGGGUUUCUGAAAUUUUUUGAUUAAAUUAAAUAUUACAGACGGAAUCACCGAUAGAUUGAAAAGUCGUAGGUGAUAUUUGGCUAUUUCUAAAAAUUUUAUAUUAAAUUGAAAAUUUAAAUUAACUAUUACAGAAGGAAUAAUUGACAGAAUGAUUAAAAAUAUUAAUAUUUAAUUAUUCAUCGGUAAAACGCCCAAUAAAAAGACUAGAAUCCCUUAUUUCACAAUAGACGUGCCUCUUUUUUCUUCUUCUUUUUUUUUUUUUUUUUUUUUUAAAUCAACAUCUCUUUCUUUCUCUUCUCUCCUCAACUCCUUAUUUAUUUAUUUAAACAAUGCUAACUGGGUUGAGUCCACUGUUCCGGUUGGACCGGGUCCGAUUAAAAGCUAAAAAUGCAUUGAACUGGGUCCAAUCCAGUAAAAUAAAAAUAUUAUUUUUUAUUUUUAAUUGUGUUUUAUUUUAAAAAAUAGUGUUUAACGUUAUUCAAUGACACUACAUAAAUUAUACGGGGAUUGCUUAAUGACGUAGUAUUUACAUAACUUGAUCGUAAUCCCCAUUUUAUUCCUGAUGUUGUUGCGCGCUUAAGAAACUAAGAAAACUGUAGUCCUUGUCGGAUGUAUUUCAUACGCGAUGAAAUUGUAGAUAGUUUAAUGAAACAAUAAAAAAUAUUUUAUAUAAAGUAUUUUUUUAUUUUAUGAUGUAAUAGCAGUAGUUAAAUCUGUAAUAUUUAAAUUAAAAACCAUCAAUAUUAAUAUAUAUUUUUUGAAAUUAUUUUAUAACCUCAAUUUGAAAAGUAUUCUUAACCAAAUACAUUAAACUAUUUUUUAGUUCAACUUUAAUUUUAACCAAACAUAUAUAAAUAUCAAACCAAUCUCAACUAAAAAUACUUUUUAUAAAAUAAUUUUUUUCAAAUCACAACCAUAAAAGCUAUCACAAUACCAAACACACUCCGGGUGCGUUUAUUUUCUAGAAAGUGGUUUUCCAGAAACCACUUUUCAAACUUUAUUGUAUUUGUUUGCCAUUAUGAAAGUUGGUCAACGAAAAACACUUUCCAGUCAAAGAAAAAUUUGGCUUGGUUUCUAGGAAAGUGUUUUCCUUUUAUUUUGGGCGGAAAACACUUUCCAGAAGUUGUGAAAAAUUUAGAAAUGUCAUAUUAUUUACUAAUUAUAUUAAAUUUGGUUCUCAAACUUUUGAUUGUUACAUAUAUUUUGUUUUGAAUAUUUGUUUUUCAAUUUCAUCCCUUAGAAUUGAAUUUUUAUAUAAACUUUGGUUCUUAUUUUUAUUUUGCUUUUCCCUUAUCAUUUUUUAAUUGGAAUUUUUUAUCUAUCAAAUCUGGUCCUCAUUUUUUAUUGUUAUUUUUUUAUUUGAAAUAAUUUAUGAAAUGUUAAUUAUUAUUAUUUUAAUUCUUCAUCUUUUAAUUUUUUUAUUUUUUAGAUUUGAUCUCUAUUAUUUUGAUUAUUAUUUAUUUUAUUUGAGAUAAUUUAUGAAAUUAUAUAUUUUUUUCAAUUUAUUCUCAUUCAACUUUUUAAUUUGUAAGAUUUGUUGUUCAUUAUUUUAAUAAACUUGAAAAAAUAAAAUAUUAAUAAGUUAUUUUCCAGCUUAUUUUCCACGACAUAACCAAAUACUAGAAUGUAUUUUCUAACUUAUUUUUCAUUACAUUACCAAACAUUAAAAAAUAAUUUAUUUUUUAGAAUUUAAUUCCUAAAAAAAAUUACUUUUCAAUAAAUAAACAGGGAUUUAACUAACACCUCCCGAGUCCUAACGGAUAUUAUGGACCCGCAGGGUACAUAUUGCCCCUCAUGAUCUUGCUUUCUUCUUCUAGGGCCCGCAUGUUGAUAUUGACCAUCUUGGGCACUUCCGUUCUCCAUUGCCAGAGACGUUCGAGGCAGUGAAGCUCCCCAUCCCGCAUUAACGGUGGUUCGCAUUGCGUUUUGAAAAUAUUUUAAAAAGAAAUUGAUUUUCUUUUAGAUCAAGGGAAUAUAAUGGGUCAUGUAUACAAACAAAAUUACCGACAUAACUGAUUCGUUUGUAAAAUCCAUCAAUACAUUUAUUAGUAAACUGUUAACUUUUUUCUAACAUUGUUUAUCCUGUUAAUUAUAAAGGAAAUUAUUGACGGAAUAUUUUAUCGGUAUUUUUUAAAGAACUUUGCAACUGUUUACUUUUCAAUUGUACUAUUAAUUAUUAUUUUUUAUAGAUGAAAUCAUUGACGGAUUGAAAAUCCAUCAGUGUUAUUUGACGAGUUUCUGAAAUUUUUUGAUUAAAUUAAAUAUUACAGUCACAGAUGGAAUCACCGACAGAUUGAAAAGUCAUAGGUGAUAUUUGACGGUUUCUGAAAAUUUUGUAUUAAAUUAAAAAUUUAAAUUAACUAUUACAGACGGAAUAAUUAACUGAAUAAUUAAAAAUAUUAAUAUUUAAUUAUUCAUCCGUAAAAUGCCUAAUAAAAAAACUAGAAUUCAUUAUUUCACAAUAGACUUGCCCUUUUUUUCUUCUUCUUUUUUUUUUAAAAAAAAACCAUCAACAUCUCUUUUUUUCUCUUCUCUCCUCAACUCCUUAUUUAUUUAUUUAUUUAAACGCAGCUUUUGAUUUUUGCUUUAAUGCUACAUUUGUUUAUGAGAUUAGUCUGCGUUUGAAGCAAAACGCAGGAGCAACAUGUUUGGUAAUGAAAAAACAUCAUUUACUGUUCAUGGACCCCAUUGUUAUUGGCCUUUGCAACGGAGGAUGAGACAAAGUAGCUCUUCGCUGCUUCUGUAGAGAGUGAACAGUGGAGGGUGACUCCACUAUUCCGGCUGGACUGGGUCCGGUUUAAAGUAUGCAUUAAACCAAGUUCGAUCCAGCAAAAUAAAAAAAUUAUUUUUUAUUUUUUAUUGUGUUUUAUUCAAUGUUUAAUAUUAUUCAAUGACAUUACAUAAACUAUAUGGGGAUUGCUUAAUGACGUAGUAUUUGUAGAAUUUAAUUUUAAUCCCACUUAAACUUAUUCUACUGUACACAUAACCCGAUGCUGCGGAUUAUGUUUUUUAUAAAAAAUAUUAAAAAUUUUAGCUGCAAAGCUAUACUAAAAAAUAUUGAGUUUGGCUCCAACACCUAAUCUAAGAGUAAUAUUUAUAAUGUUAAUAAUAAAAUUAAACUUGCAUGACUUAAGUUUAAGUGAGUCUGGCUAAAAGACCAGACCCAAGAAUAUUGGAUGUGAGUCUGGCUAUAAGAUCGUGUUAUAAAAAUAUGAUAAUUAAAUAGAUUAAUUAAAAAAAUAAAAAAAAAUCAACAGAAAGGAAAAAACUAAUAAAGAAAAAGAAAAAAAUUGAAUUAAUUAGGUUAACCCUUUAAACUAGGUUAUCCCGUAAAACCUGAGAUUCACGUCAUGAAAGUUUGAUAAUUAAAUAGAAAAAAAAAAGACUGGUUUACCCAGAAUUAACUGGGUUAACCCAUCAAACCAAGUUAACCCGUCAAGCCUAGGAUACGUGUUAUGAAAGUAUGAAAGUCUGAUAAUUAAAUAAAAAAAAAAUUGACUUUAACAAACUAAACUAAAUGAAAAAAAUAACUCAUCAAAUCAAGUUAACCUAUCAAACCCGAGAUCCGUAUUAUGAAAAUCUGGUAACUAAAUAAAAAAUUAACAUUAACAAACUAAAUCAAACAAAAAUUCAUUAAAAAAAUUAAAAAGAAAAAAAUAGUUAUUAAUAUAAUGUAAUAUAAUAAUAAUAAUAAUAAUAUAUAAUAAUAAGUAAGUAUAUUAGUAAAAGGCAUGACAUGCCCACACGAUGCCGCGGGCUUGUGGCAUGCUUGUACAUUAUCGUGGAUUUGUGAAAAAAAUCAUAUAAAAAAAUAUAGUUAUCAUCCACAAUAUUUUAAAGAAAAAAACUACAAAGCUAUAUUCUCAACCAGUUCAAUAUUAAAAAAACAAAAUCGACAAAAACAAUUAUAAAAAAACACACAAAAAUGAAAACAAGAAGAUGACAAUUUUGGAAGAAAAAAAAAAAAACAAUAAUAAAAAAAAAGGAAAAAAAAACAUGUGGGGAAAGUUAAAGCUAAAUUUUCAAUCAUCUCAAUAUUAAAAUCAUUUAAAAAACAUUGUAACGAUCUAAAGUGUUUUGUGUAAAAAUAUAUAACUAUAAUUGUUAACCAGCUCAAUAUUAAAAAAAUCAAUAAAGAUAAUUUUAAUAGAAAAUAAUUGGAUGUUGACAAGAAGAAGUAGAAAAUGUGGCAAGAAUAACCAAAAGCAGGGAUGAGGAGACAGCAGUGUUGGAUGAGAAAUGGCAAAGGUGAAAGUCUGGUGAUGGUCUUUACUGUUGCUAUUGAUCAAUUCUUCAUUACAUUAAAUGAAGGACGAAUUUUUUGCUUUUAGAAGGUGUGAUGUGUGCUUUAAACAAAAAACCCACCAUACCUCACAUAUUAAAGCGUGUUUAGUAGUAUGAUAAUAGUUACUUUUUAAAUAAUUUUUUAUGUUGAAAUGUAUAUCAAUGAUGUUUUUUUAUUUUUGUUAAAAAUCAUUUUUAAUAUCAGCAUAUUAAAACGAUCCAAAAAAUAUAAACUGUAUUAAAUUUUAAUAAAAAAAAUAAAAAAAACUUUUGAAUUUUUUAAAAACAUAGGUUGAACCGCGUUUCUAAACACUGCCUACGCUCGACUAUUAUAUUGAUUAGGCUCCACACGGUCGAGACUUGACUAGCUGUGCUUACAAUAAAGCAAUUCAAUUUUCAAAGAAGGAACAUGGCUGUGAUUUGAAGACAAGAUUUGUCUGCCGGUGUGAACCCAAACUUUUGUUCAAAAUGUGAGCCAAAAUCCAAUCUAAAUUAAUCUAGUAUAUCAAAAAGUUGUAUUUUUUUUUGUGGUUGUUAUAAUUCUCUCUCAUCAAUUAAAAAUUUUUAAUCUUUAAUAUUGAAUUUUUAGGUUUAAAAAAGGUAAAAAUAACAAGUAAUCAAUUCUUUUUCAUGUUAAUUAUGGUUUGUUUAUGAAAACAUUAAAAAAAAUAAGAUUUAUAAAGAUUUGAAGUUUAUGUUUUUAAAAUAAAUUCAUGAUUAUUAUAAAUUUGAGUUCAAGUGAUUAAUUUUAGAUGUGUUGUUAGAAAUAAGAAUUUGUGAAUUGAUUUGUUUAAUUAAUUUAUUAAGGGUUAAGAAAUUCGCUUCAACUUUGUUAGAAAAUUGGACAAAAUAAUUUUGAGGUUGAAGAUAAAGAAAUUGUAUUUUGGUCCUUGAUUUAUGAAAAUUACAGUGUAAUUCCUAAACAUUGAAAAAUUAUAAUUUGACCUCUAACUGUAUUUUGGGAUUCUGAGUGGUAUUAUUAUGAGGUUAAGGAUAAUGACUCUCAGUUUAAUAAUUGAUUUGGGAUCUUUUCAAUUUGGGCCUUUAAUUUUGAAAGUUUACAUUUUAGUCCCUGAUCUUUAAAGAAAUGAUAGUUCGGUCCUUGGUUCAUUUCUAGAUAGAAUUGAAAAUGGUUUGUUGGUAAAAUUUCAGUAUGGUUAUGUAUUUACAAUUUGCUCCUCCAAUUUUGGCAAAAUUUUGUUUUGGUUCGUGAUUUCUAAAAAAUAUCGUUUUAGUCCUUAAACUCAUAAGAAUAAACCUGUUUUAUUUUAUGCAUUGAAAUAUUUUAUUUGUUGUUUUGGGUUGUUUUUUAGUAUAUUCUAUAUAUUUUUUUAUAAGCUCCUAACAAUCAUCAAUAAAAUUGCCAUAGCUUGUUUUCGAAUGGAGAAUAAUUGGAUGCUGACAAGAAGUAGAAUAGGUGCAAGGAUAACCAAAAGCAGGGGUGUAAGCAAGAAAUGGCAUGUGUUGAGAAGACAGAGCAGUGUGAGAUGAGAAAUGGCAAAGGUAAAAGUGUUUGGUGAUGAGCUUUUCUUCUGCUAUCGAUCAAUUCUUCAUUACAUUAGUGAUUAAUAAUGUGGUGGUUCAAUUUUAUUAAGAUAUUAAAACUGCUGUCCCUGACUAUAUUGAAUAGGCUCCACACAGUUCAGACUACAUUUCAGACUUGACUAGCUAUGCUUACAAUAAAGCAAUUGAAGUUUCAAAGAAGGAACAUGGCUGUGAUUUGAAGACCGAAUUUGUCUACUUGAAUUGCCUUGUUUGUUAGCAAACGUCUUCUUCUCUAAGCUCAGUUUUUUUUUAUCAGUGUCCAGUGGCCUUCGGUGACCCCAUAACCAUGCAGCCAAGCUGCGCACUGGCCAGACCCUCGGAAGUCGGAAACACCAAUAUCUUCCAGCGCUAGUGAAUGCAAGUUGCCCAAGAUUGUAAAUGCAAGCGCAGAAACAAGUGCACCAGCCAUGUUCUCUUCUGAAGUGAAAAUGGGAACUGACACGGGUAAGAUAAAUGUUUUCCGACUAAGGUUAUUUUUCUUUUCUUUUAUGACAAGGAGAUAAGAUGAAGAAUGAUUCAAUGUCGCAAAAUCGACAAGAUCAAAAGGGUUCUAAAAUUAGAAGUGUAAGAUCAAAUGUAGGAAUUAGUUUACUUCGAAGGCACAACAGUCUUUGGAACAAAAAAAAAAAAAAAACUUGAUUACCCCAGAGACAGGACAACCAAGAACACACCAGUACGGCAUCCAUGGAGCUAUUUAACAUCUUUCUGUAUGCAGCAAGGUGGUCAUGGCCAUACCUGGUUUUGUUUCGAAGUUUUGAACCUCCAGAACCAUAUUUAUUUGAACAUUUAUGUUUACUCAAAUGGAAAAUCUAGACAGCAAACUUUAAUUUACAAUGCACUAGUGAACAGCCCUUCAUAAUCUGGAAAACAAUGUAAAUGCUAUUAUUAAUUGUUUCACCUUACUAACAAUUGACAGUUGCAAUUGAAAAUUUAACAGAAUGCUUAGGAACCUGAUGUUCUAUUUUUAGGGACUCCAAGAUCGAAGAACAGUGCACAGUGAACAUUUCUUUCCCGGAUUUAAUUCAAACCAAUGUGUUGCCAUCCAAUUAAUCUGGUAAUUAAAGAAGAAAGAAGGGUUCUUGAAUAACAAGAACAACAACAGAAGAAAAGAAACAGAGAGAAAGAGAAACUUUUAGUAACAUUCAACACUUAGUAUUUUUUUUUAAAAAACAAAAUUAACAUUCAACUCAAACCAUUAACGUUGGUUUUUUUUUUUUUUUUCCCUGAAUCACAGAAUAUCUUGUCCCAGCUUUCACGUACUAAACCAAGUCUUUACAGCCUGGAACCGAUCUUUACACAGUGUUAAGCCCCACAGCUCGCGGCCCUAUAAGAUUUGAUGCUAGAAAAAUUCAAACUGAAGAUCUGAAGAGAGUAAACCUCCAAGCCCACCAUUAAGUUCCACUAGACUAACCCCUCGAAGUUACCAUUUACAUUGUCUGCUUGCUAUUCAUACAUCAUUCAUGGUCAACUCAAUAUUUCACUAAUUUUCAUUUUAAAAAUAUUGGGAGAUAUGUCAAAUUCAUAUUGAUUAUAAUUUUAGAAAAAAAAAAAAAAAAAAAAGCAGUUAGAAUGAAUUGAUUGAAAAAGCAUCACUUAUUAGUUUCAUAGAUUGUAUUGCAGAAGAUAUUAAAUAAAAACAAAACACAAUACGCCUUCGACACCGAACUGCAAAUUACCUGGGAAUCUGAGCGAACGAAUCUGACGCCCUUGCCAGGAUAUGUCUUCGCCCCACUGAACCGGCAAAGUUCAGUCCUGAAAUCAUCCAGACCAGACAAGUUUAAUGCUCGUCAUGAUAACAUAUUGAAAACCUCAGAUGAGAUCAUUUGCAUAUAAAAAUGCUUCAUUCCAAGCCAUAUAAGUUUGAUGGUUAACAAUGGUGUCUCGAUGAGGUUAUUCGCACGGUCAUGACGAAUAUUCUCAGAGGUACAUCAGAUCCUAAAACCCCUUGGCAGACGCCCAAAAACCCUUUCAAGUGUCACAUAAUUUAUUUUUCUAGAAUUUAAUUUCUAAAAAAAAUUACUUUUCAAUAAAUAAAGAGGGAUUUAACUAACACCUCCCGAGUCCUAACGGAUAUUAUGGACCCGUAGGGUACAUAUUGCCCCUCAUGAUCUUGCUUUCUUCUUUUAGGGCCCGCAUGUUGAUAUUCACCAUCUUGGGCACUUCCGUUCUCCAUUGCCAGAGACGUUCGAGGCAGUGAAGCUCCCCAUCCCGCAUUAACGGUGGUUCUUCCCAUGAUGUUCUUCUAACUUUUUCCAGGUCCUGAGAAAAUAAGCUUGCAAAAAGUGAAGGUUAUAAAAUUGUCAUUCAGUAUCUUCCAGUUGAUGAAUAAUACUUACAUCUCGUCUCGUAAUUAGACGUAAUGUAUAUAACGUGGCAUUAGUUAAUUGGAAUUAAAAUAGAUUGUUUUAAAAAAAUCACUAGCAGAAUGACAUAUAAUAUUUUUAUUAGUUAUAUAAUAAGAUUUCUGAAAAAAAUACUGACAAAAUAAAACAUGUAAUUUUUUUUUGCAUGCUUUUCUGUCAAUAAAUUCAUCGAUAAUAAUAUUUUUUUAUUACAAACAAAUAAAAAUUUUUGAUUAAAGAUUCACUGAUAAGGUAUUUUUAUCUAUAAUUUUGUCAAUAAAUUAAUUACUAAUAAAAUAAUAACACAAAUACUAAUAAAAAAAAAUUCAUUAAUAAAUAUAAAAAUUUUAAUAGUGGAUAGGGGCCUGGUAGAGCUCAUGUCUUGACAAAGUCUAAAAAUGACAAGUGACAAGUUGACAACUUGUCAAAUUCAUAUACAUCUUGGUUGAGUAGCCAAAAAAAAACCAAUAAAUGCUGAUGUAUCAGUUUUAGUAAAAAAAAAACUUAUAACGUAGCUCGCGCUACAUUGCAGGUCAAUUUUUUUAUAUAAAAAAUAUUUAAAAAAGUUAAAAUUUUAAAGUGUUAGGUUUUUUUACAAAGUUAUACUUAAGAGCAUUGGGUCUAUCUAUUACUCCUAAUCCAAAAGUUAUAUUAAUAAUAAUAUUAAACUUGCAUGAUCCAAGUUUAAGUGAGUUUGGUUGCAACAUCAAACCUGAAGCCUUUGAUAUGAGUCUGGUUGCAAGAUUUUAUUAUAAAAAUGUGAUAAUUAAAAAGAAUAAAAAAUUAAUAUCACAGAAUAAAUAAAAAAUUAAUUGGAAAGAAAAAAAACAAUAAAGCAAAGCAUUAUUUCGAUGAAUAGUGCCUUGCAAGGAGGGGUACAGUAAAAUCCCCUCAUGAGAUCACAAUAAUUUAAUGACAAACAAAACAAAUUAUAAAUUUUAAUUCUUAAUCAAAUCGAUAUUAAAAAAAUGAAAUUGAAAGAAAAAAACUACUUAAGAAAAGGAAAAAGAAAAAUCUUAAUUAAUUGGUUUAACCCGUCAAACCUGAGAUUCGUGUCAUAAAAUUGAAAGAAAAAAGAAUGAUGUCUUUUAGUUAUAGUUAAUUACAAUAUUUAAAGAUGAAAUCGGAAGAAAAAACUAAUAAAGUAAAAGAAAAAAAAAUAUGAAUCAACUGGAUUGGCCCACCAAAUCAGGUUAACCCAUCAGACCUGAGAUCGUGUCAUGAGAGUGUGAUAACUAAAUAAAAAAAAAUUAACAUUAAUAAAAUAAAAUGAACAAAAAAAAGAUUAAUUAAAAAGAAAAAAAAGGAAAAAAAAAACCUACAUGAAGAAAAAGAAAAAAAAUCUGAAUUAACUGGGUUAACCCGUCAAACGAGGUUAAUCCGUCAAACCUGGGAUUCGUGUUAUGAAAGUUUGAUAACUAAAUAGAAAAAAACUUAAUAUUAACAAAAUAAAUUUUAAAAAAUAUAAUUAAAAAAAAAAGCAAAAAUACUAAACAAAAAAAAUAUUAAUUUAAAAAAAAAACAAAGAAAGAAAAGUCUGCAUGAAGAAAAAAACUAAUGAAGAAAAAGAAAAAAAAAUCCUAAUUAACUGGGUUAACCCUUCAAACCAAGUUAACUCGUCAAAUCUGGGAUUCGUGCCAUGAAUGUUUGAUAACUGAAUAGAAAAAAAAAAAUUUACGUUUUAACCUAGAAUUAGCUAGGUUAAUUCAUCAAACCCAGAAUCCGUGUCAUGAAAGUUUGAUAGCCAAAUAGAGAAAAUUUAACAUUAACAAACUAAAUUAAAUGAAAAAAUAAUUAAAAAGAAAAAUCAGAAAAAAUUCAGGUUAACGCGUCAAACCCAGGACCCAUGUAAUGAAAUUUUGAUAACUAAAUAAAAAAAAUUUAACAUUAAUAAAAAAAAUUAAACAAAAAAAAUAUUCAUUAAAAAAAACAAAAAAAACAAAACAACUUAAAAAAAACAAAGCAAAAGGCAAAAAAAAAAAACAGCUUAAAAAAGCAAAGCAAGCAAAAAAUAAAAGACAGAUAAGCGUUUCACUGUGGAUUGCAUUCGAAAAAAUUAAUUAAAAAGAAAAAUCAGGAAAAAAAAACCAGAUUAACCCAUCAAAUCCAAAACCUAUAUCAUAAAAAAUUGAUAAUUAAAUAGAAAAAAAAUUAACAUUAACAGAAAAACUCAUUCAUUAAAAAAAACAGCUUAAAAAAACAAAGAAAAGGAAAAAAAUAGUAAAAAAAACAAAGUAAAAACCAAAAAAAUUAAUAAAAAAAAGAAGAAGACAGAUGAGCUUUUUAUGUGGAUUGCUACAGUAAAAAACCGAUCCUUUUAGUAUAUUUCUAAUACCAGCAUUUAGAACCCUAUCGGACAUUCAAUUAAGUUUUAUUUGCGAAAUUGAACAAGCUUUUAAAAGCUAAUUUAAACACAUAAACGCAACAUUAAGGAAAAAAUUAUCAUUUAAUAAUGAUAAAACAUCACAAACAUAACGCAAGAAGUCAAAUGACUUCCUCGAAGCAAAUUUAUCAAACUUGGCCUGGGUUGACAGGUCGACCUGCGACCUGUUUACCCGGGCUUUCAAACUGGAUUGGAAAUUAAUUUUGUUAAACAAAGGUGAUAUGUUCUAUCAAUUAAUUUUUUUAAAUAAAAAACAACUUCGUUUAUUUAUGUUUAUUUAAUUAUUUAUACCUUUUAUAUCUAAACGAGCCUGGACUUAGAUCGAAUCAGAUGACGAGCCUGGUCUGAUAACUUAGCCUUGAAGUUUAUUCUGUUAGAUCAUUAUUGUUUGCUGUGUUAGGCAACAGAUAUCCCUCUAUUCAUACUCAGCUUAAUUUUUCAAUUUCGACUUUUAAAAAUAUGGAGAGAUAUAUGUCAAAUUCCUAUCGGUUCUGAUUUUAAGGAAAAAUAAAAAUUUAUUAAGAAUUAAAAAAAUGCUAUUUUUUAUAUAAUUUGAAAAAAAUAUUUUAAACUUUAUUUUAUAAAGCUAAAAAAUUACUAAAAAAUAUAUUUAAUUUAUAUUCAUGUAUACAAUACUUGUUAAUUUAUUUAAUACUUGUUAAUUUAUUUUUUAACUUUAUUUAAAGCCAACAAUGAUUAAAAAAUAUAUUUAAUUUUUAUAACACUUUUUUAUGUAUUCAUCAAAAUUUUCAUGAAAAAUUAAAUUGAAAAAUCAUGGCUAUGAAAAAACAAAAAUACUCAUUUACUCCCUCAAAUAUGUUUCAUCAGUAAAUCCAUAAUUUUUCUUCGCUGAAUAUCAUUAGAUUUUCAUAAAAAUAUAUUAUUAUAAAAGUGAACAUCUUAGUGAUUUUUUAAAAUUUUAUUAUUAUUUUUAGAGUUCUUAAUAAAAUUUUCUUUAAAUUAGAACCAAUAGAAAUCUAACUCGUGUUCUUCCAUAUCUUUAAAAGACAAAAUUAAUGAAAUAUUACGUUUACUCUGAACAGAGAGAUCUAUACUGCCUAGUAGACAAAAUCAUAGAAACCCAAUUAUAUAAAUUUAAACCAUAAGGAUAUCUUUAUCAAAUAUCAAUAUAUCAGAGAGAUUCAUAGUACCAUCAAACCAAAGUUAUACCUAAACUUGUCAUGCAAUAAAACACGUGCAUAUUCAUACAAUAAAAAUAAUAAAUAGACGUAUUUCUCCCUUUCUAUUACAAAGAUCAUUGCAAUACUUAGUAGAUGCAAACGGAAGGGAUGUGAGCUAUCUUAGGCCAGUCCUCUCCUCGCUCCUUCGAGCACCUUUUCUUCAAAUUUGGACAAUGGUUAAUCAUCAAGUGGCUGAGGUUGCUGAGACUCUGUAGCCCUUCUGGCAAACAUACCAAAUUAGGGCAAUCCUGAAUUUCCAGGCGUGAAAGGGAUAUGAGAUAACCAAUCUGAUUUGGCAAGGAAGUUAAUCCCUUGCAUUCAUAGAGUCUUAGAGAUCGGAGAGAAGUAAGAUGUUGGAUACUCUUUGGCAAUGAAUUCAGCUCUGGACAAAGUUCAAGCUCCAAGAUUUCAAGUGCCGUCAGAUAUUGCACUCCCUCGGACAGAGACACAAAUUUAUCACAAUUUCUAACAGAUAACCUACGAAGAGAAGAUAAGCCGGACAACCCAUUCAUUGGCAGAGUGUAUAAUCUUGUACAACUAUUUAUCUGUAAAACCUCCAAAGAAGUGAGUUUUCGAAGACCUUCCUCUGGCAAGCUUUCAAGUUCAUAACAAUGCUGGAUACUCAAGCUUUUAAGAGCUGAAAGGUUGUCAAAUACCUUAUUUGACAAAGACGAUAGAUUUCUCAUCCCAACCAUACAUAAGGACUCGAGGAGUGUAUGAUUUUGCAAGAACCCAUCUGGAAUCAGCCUCGCAUCAAUCCUUGCAAUAAAAAGGUAUGUGAUAGAAGUAAAUUUCAUAACUGACAUCAGUAACGAAACAUUGCCUUCAGUGAUGUGUAAGCUUUUGACGGAAGGUAUAAUUGGUAUUUCGGUCAACAAGGGGCAAAGAACUACAGAUAAUGCUUUAAGACGAGGAAAACUACACGGAGCCCAUUGCUCUAGUCUCUCCAUUGAAAUAAAUGUCAGGCUCUCCAAAGAUGGGAAUGGAUUUUGCUCAUCUCCAUACACAUGGCUGUCAAUACACUUCACACCAUCCAUUCCAUCUAGUUCAAGAUUCUUGAGGAACUGUAAUUUCCCAAAUGGUGGAAGUUGUUCACAGUUGCCACAUGCUGUUAGCUUCAUCUCUACUAGAUUCGGUAGCAUCAAGUUCAAGUUCAUCAUCCACUUUGGAAAUUUUGAACCCCCAUAUCCAAUUAAUCUCAAUUUCUUCAGAUUUGAAUGAGGUUGAAGCCCAUCAAGGACAUCCUCAUUACUUUCAGCUGAUUGCACACAAGUAAAAGGGCGGCGACCUCCAUUCUCAUUCCAAGAUAAAUUCAGUGAUAGAAGAGUUGUCUUCAACUUCAAAUUGGCACUUCUGGCAUCUGUUAAAUUCUUAACAUUAACAAGAUCUGUGAUGCUUAGUUCACCAGCAAGAUUAUUCAGCCUUUCUAGCUCCCCUAAGUGACGACCAUCCUCCUUACCCACAAUGAACAGGCCAAGUUUUCGCAGGCAUAUUAAUUGUCCCAUUCCAAAUGGCAUAAAUCGAAGUGAAUCACAGCCCGUGAUGUCAAGAUAGAUGAGACUUUUCAUAUGCUUCAUACCUCUAGGUAAUUGGAUGAGCCGUGUACAAUGACUCAGAUUUAGUGUCUGUAGAUUUUGGAGCGAGGUGAUUGAUGCAGGCAAUUUUUUAAUGUGGGAAUUGGAGACAUCUAGAAACCUUAGAUGUUUCAAAUAACAAAUUGACUUUGGCAAUGUAUUGAGAUAGGUACCUAUAUGCAAGGCUCUCAGAUGCUUUUGUUGGGUGAAAUAAAGAUGCAAAUCAACACUCACAAGGCGUGUGUGAUGAUAAAAUCCAGAAAGCAAAAUUGAGCGUAGAGACCUAGAUUUGAAAUCCUUGUCUUCUGGAACAAACUGUGAUGAGUAUGCACCCACAUGACGAAUUGUUUUAGGAAUUUGCAACUUUGUAUUGCCCUCAAUCAAACAACAUUCUCUCUUCAUAAUGUACUGUGCAAGAUCAUGGAUAAGAUCAUGCAUUUUACAUGUCAUGUAGCCCAGCGAAUAUACCUUAACUUCUUGAAAAAAAGACCUCCCAACUAAUUCGUGGAAAAUCUCUUCACCCUUAUCGUGCAAAUCCAUUUGCCCAGUGCUCGAAAUGAAGCCAUUUGCCAUCCAUAGAGCUACCAACCGCUCCUUCCGAAUGACAUAAUCUUUGGGGAAUAUAGAGCAAAAUGCAAAGCAUUGCUUCACAGCUGGCUUUAGAUUCAUAUAACUCAAACUCAAGGCAGGUAAUAAUAUCUGGCUUCCUUCAUUUGGCAGAUCCCAAAUCUCACUUUCUUUGACAGACAGCCACUCCCUUUCACUUUUCUUCGAGCGCAUCAGGCUUCCGACUGCUCUUAUAGCCAACGGAACUCCGCUACACUUCUUAACUAUCGCUGCUCCAAUGUUUUCCAAGUGACCAUACUCCUCUCUCCUUCUCAUACCAAAUGCAAGCUGCUUAAAUAAAAGCCAGGAAUCCUCAUCCGACAAUGUUUCCAUAUGUUGAACAGGAUUUGUGGCCAUUUUUUCAGCCAUAGUUCCCAAACGAGUAGUCACAAUAACUGCACUUCCUUUAGCUCCACAACUCAAUGCAUCUUUCAACUUGCUCCAGUUAUCAUGGUCAUCAUCCCAAACAUCAUCCAAUAUGAGCAAAAACUUCUUACCACCUAAAUUUUCUUGGAGGCAUCGUAGAAGAGCAUCCAACUGUUGAAUAUUUGGAGUAGUGCGUUGAAUGGACUCGAUGAUGGCUGCUGUCAAUCUUUUUAUGUUGAAAUCAACUGAUACGCACACCCAAAUCCGCAAAUCAAAAUGCCCUUCUAUUCUUCCGUCGUUGUAGACUAAUUGAGCAAGUGUUGUUUUACCCAAGCCCCCCAUUCCACAUAUAGCAUAAAUAGAGAAAUCAUCUGAACUGGUGAGCAGCAUGUUGACCAGAUCUUCUUUCUCCUUGCCCCUUCCAUAAAUUUCUGAUUCAUUCACCCAUGACCAAGUCUGACGCCAAUCAAAACUAUCUGCUUCUAUCUCCAAAGCCCCUUCAAUUAAAUGGAAAUCGUGUCUCCCCUUGGCAAUGCGAUCUAGUGUUUCUGUAACAUUCUUCAAUUUACGAGCCAUCCUUUGUCGAAAAACAAGAGGAUUAUGAUUGAUAGAAAAGAAGCAUGUUAGCCAAUUUUUGAGAUCUCUUCGCUGCUGAUGCCACUGAGCUUCAAAAGCAAACUCAUCCAGUACAUCAUCAACAACAUAAGCUGCAUCCUUGAGGUCGCUGAGCCACACCUUGAUAGGCUUACUCUUCCACUGCUUCUCCUCUGCAUCUUGCAGCACAGCUUGAAUGGUUCUGAACGUGCGCUUGAGAUUUUCAAGCUCGGUCGUUAGGCCCC
This 42305-nucleotide long non-coding RNA is filed under the name Populus tremula. RNAcentral describes it as "long non-coding RNA (PTRE_LNC001311)". Lineage: Eukaryota; Viridiplantae; Streptophyta; Magnoliopsida; Malpighiales; Salicaceae. The record is from RNAcentral.